UCAAGCGAACCCCAAAGCGUAAAAUGGCAAAAGAAGUGCUGUGGAGCCAUUAUUAGUGAGAGCGCUGAGUCGGUUUCAGUAAACUUGCAGCGUGCUCUCGCUGAAAUUGUGCAAGCAUGCCGUUACUCUCUGACACAUCGGCUGUUGAGUAGUGAUUCGGUUCGGAGCGCUACGGCUGAGCGAAAAUCUACUGACAUCGUAGCAUGCGAAGCAGUGAGUAUCAACAAGUGAAACCGUAACUAUAAGUACGAAUCAGUCAGAUAUAUACAGCCAAAAGCAUAUACUACGGUAACAUGCGUACAUAUGUAUGUACCUAUGAUACGGCAGUAGUAUAAAGCUUUUAUACUUCCGAUGAGUGACUACAGUUGAAUCAGGCUAAAAAGCUUUGAAUUUGGCAAAUGAGGAGAGAAGCAACAAAGCCAGUCGAAGUCCAUCUCGCGCGUAUGAGCAAAUGGAGAAACCCGUAUUGCUGUCUGAGGAGAAGCAAGCUUUUAAGCUGUUAGAUCGAUUCGUCAAUAACUUUUCUAGCAAGGAAUCCCGCAAGUUGAAAAACAGCCGUUUCGAGAAAAACGCAUUUGAAAAAAAGUGCGCUUCGGCACUGAAUCGACCGGUGUUUACCUUAGUGCUCAUAUCAUCGGAACUAAUUGGAAUUUCGUUUUGAAACUUAAGCAACAUAUUCUUCAAUAGUUGUACCAACAAGUUAUGCAGUCAAAAAAUAGAUUUUUGUGAAUCAUCUAAACUGGUUUCCCCCCUUAAUGUUCCGGGCGUUUUGUUGGGCGACUCUGCGUUUAAGCUUGAUGAACAUUUGAUGCAUCUGUACCCAUUUUGCAUAAACCAACCUUUGAAUAAAAAAUCAAGAAUGCUUUCGGUCAUAUAAAAGCAAGGCUAAGACAAAUGCUUGGUUAAUCACAUGGUCAACACGAAAGUAUUCAUAAAAGCGUGCUGCGUUUUGCACAACUAUUUGAAUGAAUAUUAUGAUGAAAUUAAUGAAAGGUGGAUGGCAGUAUAAAAAAUCGAAAACCAAACUCGGCAGUUACCAGAAAGUGUCCCUAACAUUUCCAGAAAUGUCAACCCAAGGGCAGCGGCAAUAUGACAAGCUUUCGUUUCAGAUUUCGUUUGUAUGAUACGAUCUCUGAUGAGAUACGUUCGAUAUACGUUCUCUGAUCAUAUAUGAUAUACGUUCUCUGUAUACGUUCUCUGGUUUCAAUCUUUCUAGCGGUUACAACAACCAUAUUCCUUGCGACAUCUAGCCAGUUUUUAAGCUAUGCGUAUCUUUGCUUCACUGUUUUCGGUGACCACCAUGAGAUGGCGCAAGCAACUGAAUGUAUAAUAAAUUUUGCUAUAAUCGAUAUUUCAAAAAGUAUAAAAAUCGUUGUAUCUGAUAUUGGAGUUAAAUUUAGAUUUUUUAGGUAAGUGAACUUUUAGUAACACUCAAUCUGUUUGACUCGUUGGAAAGUUUUUCAGGUGCGUAUUCACUUCGAGAAGAUAAUGGAAAAAAAAUCGAGUGAGAAAAGCGACCUUACUUUGUGUCCACAUUGAGGAGGAUUAAGUGUAGAAGCAGAGGCGACAAAAAUAUAUAAUAUGCAGAAGAACCAUAUCGAAAGAGGAUAGAGCACGAUACUAGUACGCUAUUAAGCUAGUUAUGAAAGCGAAGCUUUACUGUAUGAAUCCCAAUUUCUAGCCCGAUGGGAAGUAAACUAGAAUGGAAAGCGAGGAAAAGCAAUGAAGUGGAUUCAAAGAGGCUUAGUAAAGCUCCGGGGUUAAUAGUUGUGACACAAAUUCGUGGACCAGUAACCUAAUCCCAUAAGCUACCUUAACUUGUUUCUGGGAAGAAUGAUUAGAUUCCUGAACCGUUUUGCAUCGAAUUCUUCCAGAAACAGCCUCACCUGUUGAAGCCCGGACACUUGCUGCCAGUGACGAUUUCUACCGACCCUUUCGUUUUUCUGUAGCUCCUCGGCUAGCUCAUUUUAAUUGAUGUCUCCAACCCUAGGAGGAUUCAUGCUAGUAAAAUGUUAAGAAUGAUUCAUUCCCCGUGAUAGUUUUUCUCUAGAAUAAUCUCUAUACAUCUGCUAAUGGAUUAGAUAAGAUUUCUUUUUUUAACAAGCGCAUGACCAUUCUAAAUCUAUGUAUAUAUCUACAAAAGGUUGUAGCACAGUAUUCGUAUUAAUAAAAUAUGUAUACGAUUGCUUAAUAUCGCUCAGUAUAACGGCACUAAGCAUGAAUUCAAAACAAAUUCUAGAUUGUCGAUCACCCCAUCAUCAUCAAGACCAAAAAUAAAAUAUAAAGCCAA
Molecule: non-coding RNA, 2290 nt
Organism: Bactrocera oleae (olive fruit fly)
Lineage: Eukaryota; Metazoa; Arthropoda; Insecta; Diptera; Tephritidae
Source: RefSeq, a predicted model, not a curated record